RNAcentral lists this long non-coding RNA (256 nucleotides) under Lathyrus oleraceus (garden pea). RNAcentral describes it as "Pisum sativum (pea) long non-coding RNA (PSAT_LNC005841)". Lineage: Eukaryota; Viridiplantae; Streptophyta; Magnoliopsida; Fabales; Fabaceae. The record is from RNAcentral.
UGAGUAUGAGUAUGAAUUGUGUUGGUAUUGAGUAUGAUAAUUGGGCUGAUGUGCCGUUACUGAACGUGUGAUAUGAUUAGGGUGAUUAAUGUGUUGAAUUACUUAACAUGACAUGAUAUUUUAUAAUGCUUAUUAUAUCGAUUGAGGAACUCACCCUUACAACUAUUUUUCAGGUAACGAGCAAUGAGUUGAGUAGAAGCUAAUGCUUGGAGUCUAGUGUAGUCUUCUUAGUGGGUCAUGCUCUGAUAGAUGUAAC